CUAGCCCAAUGCUCUUCCAAUUGAGCUACGCGGUCAGGACGGUUCGAGUAAGUGAUAUUUCGGAACAGUAUCUAGUUCCUUCAAUACCAAUGUGUUCUUGUAAUAUGAAUUUUUUUUUUUUUCUGUGCUGGUGUUGUGUACUCAGGUGAAUAAUAUGUUUGUGAUGUUACUCUGAGUGCAUAUCCACACCGGGCGAGCUUGAAAAAUAUGCCCGGCCACGGUGGGAUUCGAACCUACGACCUUUGGAAUACUAGCCCAAUGCUCUUCCAACUGAGCUACGCGGUCAGGACGGUUCGAGUAAGUGAUAUUUCGGAACAGAAUCUAGUUCCUUCGAUACCAAUGUAUUCUAUUAAUAUGAAUUUUUUUUUUUUUUUUUUCUGUGUUGGUGUAGUGUACUCAGGUGAAUAUGAUAUUUGUGGUGUUACUCUGAGUGUAUAUCCACACCGGGCGAGCUUGAAAAAUAUGCCCGGCUACGGUGGGAUUCGAACCUACGACCUUUGGAAUACUAGCCCAAUGCUCUUCCAACUGAGCUACGCGGUCAGGACGGUUCGAGUAAGUGAUAUUUCGGAACAGAAUCUAGUUCCUUCGAUACCAAUGUAUUCUAGUAAUAUGAAUUUUUUUUCUGUGUUGGUGUAGUGUACUCAGGUGAAUAUGAUAUUUGUGGUGUUACUCUGAGUGUACAUCCACACCGGGCGAGAUUGGAAAAUAUGCCCGGCCACGGUGGGAUUCGAAUCUACGACCUUUGGAAUACUAGCCCAAUGCUCUUCCAACUGAGCUACGCGGUCAGGACGGUUCGAGUAAGUGAUAUUUCGGAACAGUAUCUAGUUCCUUCAAUACCAAUGUGUUCUAGUAAUAUGAAUUUUUUUUUUCUGUGUUGGUGUUGUGUACUCAGGUGAAUAAUAUGUUUGCGAUGUUACUCUGAGUGCAUAUCCACACCGGGCGAGCUUGAAAAAUAUGCCCGGUCACGGUGGGAUUCGAACCUACGACCUUUGAAAUACUAGCCCAAUGCUCUUCCAGCUGAGCUACGCGGUCAGGACCGUUCGAGUAAGUGAUAUUUCGGAACAGUAUCUAGUUCCUUCAAUACCAAUGUGUUCUAGUAAUGAAUUUUUCUGUGUUGGUGUUGUGUACUCAGGUGAAUAAUAUGUAUGCGAUGUUAUUCUGAGCGCAUAUCCACACCGGGCAAGCUUGAAAAAUAUGCCCGGCCACAGUGGGAUUCGAA
Paramuricea clavata is the source of this 1219-nucleotide non-coding RNA. Lineage: Eukaryota; Metazoa; Cnidaria; Anthozoa; Malacalcyonacea; Plexauridae. The record is from the annotation of a GenBank genome assembly.